RNAcentral lists this long non-coding RNA (361 nucleotides) under Prunus persica (peach). RNAcentral describes it as "long non-coding RNA (PPER_LNC005484)". The record is from RNAcentral. Lineage: Eukaryota; Viridiplantae; Streptophyta; Magnoliopsida; Rosales; Rosaceae.
GCCUGGGUCAGUGUGAGCCAUCCGCAGCAGAUGAUCCGAAGGAAGGAAGGAGCCACCCUUUCUCCUGCGCGUGCUCCACAUAGAAGCUGAAUUUCUCCCUUGCAUUCGGAAUGUCGAGGGCCAAAUCAUCUAGCCCAUCCUUGAUUCGGGUGAAGCCUUUUGUCAUCUGGUUAAUUGUGAUCAGCCCUUCGUUGAAGCACUCCUGAAGCAGGUGAAGCAUCCUGUCAUUCUUCUUCUCCAUGGCCAUGACCAGUGCCUUCUUCACCACCUCAUGGUUAAAGAAGGGCAUCCCAAGAUCACGAAUGCACUGGCAGGCUUCGCUUACUACACCCCCACUCUCAUACUCCUCCAGCAGCUUUGC